UUUAAGUGCAACCAUAAGUUUCCGCGCUUAACUUUGAUCGUUUAUUUUAUUUGAAAAAAUUUUAUAAUUAAUAUUUUUGUAGUUAUGAGAUGAUAAAACAUGAAUAGCACUUUACUCGUGACUUAUGUUUUUAUUUUUUUAAAAAAAAAUUAAAUAAUACGAACGAUCAAAGUUGGACUAAAAAAUCAUGGCUAGACUGAAA
Molecule: non-coding RNA, 202 nt
Organism: Oryza glumipatula
Lineage: Eukaryota; Viridiplantae; Streptophyta; Magnoliopsida; Poales; Poaceae
Source: Rfam